RNAcentral lists this ribosomal RNA (465 nucleotides) under uncultured bacterium. RNAcentral's name for it is "bacterial SSU rRNA". It matches the Rfam family "Bacterial small subunit ribosomal RNA", at positions 331 to 793 of the family's 1533-position model. The record is from RNAcentral.
CCAGACUCCUACGGGAGGCAGCAGUGAGGAAUAUUGGUCAAUGGGCGGGAGCCUGAACCAGCCAAGCCGCGUGAAGGAAGAAGGCGCCAGGCGUCGUAAACUUCUUUUGUCGGGGAACAAAGGGCGCCACGCGUGGCGUUGUGAGUGUACCCGAAGAAAAAGCAUCGGCUAACUCCGUGCCAGCAGCCGCGGUAAUACGUAGGGGGCAAGCGUUAUCCGGAUUCACUGGGUGUAAAGGGAGCGUAGACGGCCAUGCAAGCCUGGAGUGAAAGCCCGGGGCCCAACCCCGGGACUGCUCUGGGAACUGUGCGGCUGGAGUGCGGGAGGGGCAGGCGGAAUUCCUGGUGUAGCGGUGAAAUGCGUAGAUAUCAGGAGGAACACCGGCGGCGAAGGCGGCCUGCUGGACCGCGACUGACGUUGAGGCUCGAAAGCGUGGGGAGCAAACAGGAUUAGAUACCCCGGUAC